This 318-nucleotide small nuclear RNA is filed under the name Octodon degus (degu). RNAcentral's name for it is "7SK RNA (ENSODEG00000023128.1)". It matches the Rfam family "7SK RNA". Rfam says of the family: 7SK was discovered as an abundant small nuclear RNA in the mid-70s but a possible function has only recently been suggested. Lineage: Eukaryota; Metazoa; Chordata; Mammalia; Rodentia; Octodontidae. The record is from RNAcentral.
GGAUGUGAGGGCAAUCUGGCUGCAACAUCUGUCAGCCCAUCACCAGGGUUGAUUCAGCUUAUCUGGCUGGCUAGGCAGGCGUCCCCUUCCUCCCUCAACUCUCCAUGCAUCCCUCCCAAAGCUGCGUACUGUAUGUAAGAGAAUGAACACCCCCGAUGGAGGAGGACCAUUCCUCCUUCAAGGGGAUAUGAGUAGCUAUGCUUCCCUGUUAGAACCUUUUAACAUGCUCUCAAAAACAUGAAUUCUAUCAAAAAAUCUUCCUUUUUUACCACUCAAUAAAGAAUAGUAUGAAAAUUAAGUGAACUUUUUAGAAAGUCU